CGAAGGCAGACGCUCAACGACUGAGCCACCCAGGCUCCCAGAAAGACAAUUUUAUGAAACACAGGAAGAUACCGUGAAGACCCACCUGCGCCUAUCGAAUGAUCCGGGGGUGAGAGUGGAAUGGAGCCAAAUACCUUCAAAGAACAGAAAGGAGGCCCAGCAUCUCUGAAACAGUUGAGACAUCGUGAUCCUUUACCUCGAAAUGCUUUAGCGAGUAAUUCCUAAGAACAAAGACAUUAUCCUAAAGACAACGGUGAUGGAAUUUAGGAAAUUUAUCAUGGACAUGUACUGUUUUUUUUUAAGAUUUUAUUUUUAAGGAAUCUCUACACCCAAUGUAGGGCUUGAAUCUACAACCCUGAGAUCAAGAGUCACAGGCUCCACCAACGGAACCAACCAGGCUCCGAGACAUGUACUAUUUUUAAUACACAGUCUAUAUUCAAAAAUGUCCAAGUGUCACAAAAAUGUCUUUUUUAGCCCUGUUUUUUCCAAACCAGGAUCACACAUUGCAUUGAGUUGUCCUGUUUCUUUAGCCUCCUUUAAUCUGCACUUCUCACCAUGUCUUUGUGCUCCGUGACAUGAACAUCUUUGAAGCAGAACUGUUUUGAAGUUGAAAAACACUGAAUUUUGUGGAAUCAGGGCUUUAUUAUUGGAAUAAGAUCUUACACAAUUGCAGAUGAUGGUGGGGAAUGAAGGUCCAGAGAGGGGAGUCGGGGGGAGAAGUGGAAAAUCACCAACCAGCCCUCUCGAAGAGCUGGCGCAGGUGCACAAGUCAGAGCUUCCAGGAAAAUAUCUGGGAAGCUGGCAUAUCCAGCUGUCAGAGUGGGAUCGCGAAGGACAACCGGUGACGAAGUCUCCAGAAGGCUGUUGCCUCUGCAUCCGGUGGUGGGCCUGGGGGUCACUGUUGGUCAGCAGGGCAGAAAGUUGAGAUGAACAGAGUGUGAGGGAAAUAGGUCACAAGGUCCUGUGCUUUUGUCUGUCUGUCUGUCUCACGACAGCAGAGAGCAAGAGUGAGCUGGAACCCAGUGGCACAUCCAUAUUUGUCUCUUGCCACAUCUGAAUAGAACCACCAGUCAGAAGCAAUGACCACGCCUCACUUCUUCCAUUGAGUUUUCAUAUGGUUUUCUCUGUGGCCUGCUCUAACCUUGAACCGUGAGGGGAAAGGGGUUCUGAGGAACAUAGGUGCCGCUCAGCCCAGUUGACCCAGUUCAAAAUCACCAGAGAACGUGCCCUGUUUCCUCGAGUUCCUAGAAGAGCUUCUGUGAUAUUGGUUAUCGGUUAAGUGUCUGGAAGAUUUCACCAGUGAGACCAUCCGGGCCCCGAAUUUUGCGGGAAAGUUAAUUUGGUGUUAAAUUUCUUUGGUAGAUAUAGACUAUUCAGAUUCCCUAUUUUUCCUUGGGUCAGUUGUGGUUAAGCUUUAUUUUUCAAAGAAUUUAUCCACUUCAUCUAAAUUUUCAAAUGCAUUGACAUGAAGUGGUUCCUAAUAUCCUCUUAUUACAUUUUUCAUGCUUGUAGGAUCUUUAGUGAUGUCUUAUUUUAGUUCUUGAUAUUGGUCAUCUGUUUUCUCUUUUUUUCCCCCUUUAUUGCCCUUAAAUAGGGAUUUGUUGAGUAUAUUAACCUUUUAU
Molecule: long non-coding RNA, 1622 nt
Organism: Leptonychotes weddellii (Weddell seal)
Lineage: Eukaryota; Metazoa; Chordata; Mammalia; Carnivora; Phocidae
Source: RefSeq, a predicted model, not a curated record